This is a long non-coding RNA of Canis lupus familiaris (dog), 847 nucleotides long. RefSeq lists it as uncharacterized. The transcript is spliced from 2 exons. The record is from RefSeq and is a predicted model, not a curated record. NCBI's taxonomy places the organism in Eukaryota, Metazoa, Chordata, Mammalia, Carnivora, Canidae.
AGCAUCAGCUCGCAGAAUUCCUGAACCUUCAACCAUCAGCUGUCGUGAACUGGUGCGAACCGGAUCCAGGACACCACGGAUACAAUUACAUAAAAGGGGUCAGCAAGUCACAGCUCAUGAGCCCGGUUCAGCACAAUCCCUACCACCGAGCAUAAAGAUGUGGGAUGCCACUGCCCAGGCGUUUCCCUACUACCAGUGGCUGACUCACGCUGCAACAGUGGAGCCCAGUGGUUGGGACAAAGAUGAUCUGAGAUAUUUACUAUUCAGCCUUUACCUCCUCUGGAAUGGUUUCAAUAUCACAAGAACUUAUCUUCCUGAAGUUUUACAGGAUCCUCUAUGAAACCAUGUCUAACUAACCCAAACCCUGCUUUCCCCCCUCUUGGACGUGGUUUCCAAUAUCCUCUUCCAUUAUUUAUUUUUUCAGGUUCCCUAAUUUUCUAUGAGUCAAUCUGGCUCACAACACUUUCCCUGCAAAUUAUUCCUUUUAUUCAGAUUUUCAUACUUAUUAUAAUAAUGUUGUACAUAGUCUCUUUUAGAAAUUGGCUCUGCAAAUGUCAUUCAAUCAACAUUUAUCCUUUCAAUGCUGUAUAUUUGUAUUUUUCUCUUUCUUUUUUUCCAGAGGACUAGUCAAGAUGUGUCUAUUUAAUUAGUCUUUAUAAAAACCAUGCCUUAGCUUGAGUUAUCAGAUGUAGUUCUAAAGCUGCUGGUAAUACUUUAAUUGCUCCUUUUGUUUUUCUGAACUUCUUUUUUCUAAGGUUUAUUGUACUCCCUUUUCUUAUCUAUUGCCCGAUUCAUUUAUUUUCAAUGAAAGGCAAAAUAAAUUUUUCUGGGUAUGGCUUUGAUUGGA